Gopherus evgoodei (Goodes thornscrub tortoise) is the source of this 1845-nucleotide long non-coding RNA. RefSeq lists it as uncharacterized. NCBI's taxonomy places the organism in Eukaryota, Metazoa, Chordata, Testudines, Testudinidae. The transcript has 3 exons. The record is from RefSeq and is a predicted model, not a curated record.
UUUCACACUUGCUGUCUGGUUACCCUGACCCCCCACCACCCACCCACACAAUUAAGGUUUGUGUUCACUAACAGAAAGUGCAUUGUUUAGCCCAGGCUACCUGCGGCGGAGUAGCGAGCCUGCUGUGACUCCUAAUAGAAAUGAGGUUGUUAUGGUCUUUACCACAAGGUAGCUAGAGGAGUUGAACCACAGGCCAGGGUAUAGUGCUGAACGUGCCUAGCUCCUUGGGAAAAACAACAAAAUCCACUACAGUUUUCCAGCUGGGAAAAUCAUCUUUUUGUGGUGAAGACAAAGCCUGAGUGGGACAGGGUUCUUCCUCCUGCACCUCUAUUUGCUCGUUUGCCUAUCAGCCAUUAAAGCAAUGUCACUCCACUUCCCCUCUGCUGUAUGUCAGGAACUUAUUUAUUAAUUUAGUAUUUGCAUAUUUGCUAGGCAAUAGCAUUUUUAGUGGCCAAGUGGAGCUCACUGCUGAAUUUGGUUAGCAAGCACUCCUUGACAACGUAUAUUAGUGUUCGAUCUGCACCACAGCUUGGAUUGUCUCGAAGACCCCAACAGUGCUGGUUAGCUGCACAAAGGCCUUGCCCAGUCUGGAAUCAGUUAAGAAAGACCCACUGACGACAUGGCAUGUCAAAGCCAGACGGGUGAGCAGUAGCGCCUGUGACAAGGUACUGAUUGUUGGUCGAUGCUAAGCAGCAGUCUUCCCGCCACAGGGACUCCACUGUCACCUCCUGUCAUGGCAGCUUCAAGCACAGUGAGUGUCGUGAUGAAAGACCUGUAGCUGGUGGGCUAAAAAGCAUGUCAUACAUCCAGACUGGAGGUACUAUUCAGCUGAAUCAGCUAACGUUUCUACAGCACUUUAAUAAUGUGAAGCAGCGAGUUCUCUGAGGAGAGGGGAAGAAAAAAAAUCUUUAUGCCAAAGGAAGAUUUAAAUCUUCAAAUUACUUUCUUCAUCCUAAGCGGGAAAAAAACCCAUUACGGUAACUAAAUCACAUUGCAGUCGAUUAUGAUCCCACAGAUGGCAUGUACUGCAACAGGGCCAUAAUGGCAAAGAGAAAUGAGGUAUGCAGUCCAGCCCACUCUUAAUAACAUGUCCGAAGGGGGACAGGACAUGUUUGUUACUAGAUCAAUUGUGCAAAUUUAGCUUGUUUCUUCUUUCUACUCCAUUUGGUAGCAUUCUCGGGGAAAACAUCCUAUAUACAUGUUAAUAUAGGAAACGCUUUAUAAAGCGGUCAGCAUUCUGUGAAUUACUAGUAACCUUAGCCCUUAAAAUAAUCCUUCAACAGUGGAAGGAUCCAAACACCAUUUCACAAAGACCACAAAAUCUAUUUCAACUCUUUGAUUUGAAGAUAUAAUGCUCUCCAGCCUAUCAAGAUUAAAUCAUUCCUCAACUCUUGAUGCUCUGGCUGAAUCUUGUCUGUACUGAUCAGGAUUGUGCCGUACUUGUUUUCGUAUGCUCCACUGGGAUAUUGUACACUUUAUGGGCAAGUUCUUGGUAUCUGUUUGCUUCACGUCAUGUAAAAUUAAAGCUAACCCAGAGCCCAAUAUAGGGCUUUUUUUUUAAUGGAGAGAAACCAACUGGUGAGGUGAGGAAAAUUAUAAGCUGCACAGCUUUACCACACACUCAACCAACCAGCUACUGAGGCUCCUUGAAGAUCUCUCUCCCCCUUCCACACUAUCCUCAAAAAGCUUUGCUGAAGCAGAAUUUACCAAAGAAAGAAACUGAAAACACCAGGUGCAGUUUCUGGGAAGAGAAGCGGGGUCAUGACUCGAAUCAGCUUUGCUGUGGCCGGGUUCCAUCUCUCAGAAAAAAAUUGGGACGUGAUUAAGUCUCCACUCAUGAGGCUA